This 292-nucleotide ribosomal RNA is filed under the name uncultured bacterium. RNAcentral's name for it is "partial 16S ribosomal RNA". It matches the Rfam family "Bacterial small subunit ribosomal RNA", at positions 505 to 796 of the family's 1533-position model. The record is from RNAcentral.
GUGUCAGCCGCCGCGGUAAGACGGAGGGAGCUAGCGUUGUUCGGAAUGACUGGGCGUAAAGGGCGCGUAGGCGGUUUUUUAAGUGAGGCGUGAAAGCCCUGGGCUUAACCCAGGAGGUGCGUUUCAUACUGGAAAGCUUGAGUGCGAGAGAGGAAAGUGGAAUUCCUAGUGUAGAGGUGAAAUUCGUAGAUAUUAGGAAGAACACCAGAGGCGAAGGCGGCUUUCUGGCUCGCAACUGACGCUGAGGCGCGAAAGCGUGGGGAGCAAACAGGAUUAGAAACCCUUGUAGUCC